Long non-coding RNA from Drosophila persimilis, 317 nucleotides. RefSeq lists it as uncharacterized. Lineage: Eukaryota; Metazoa; Arthropoda; Insecta; Diptera; Drosophilidae. The transcript has 3 exons. The record is from RefSeq and is a predicted model, not a curated record.
UUUUCUUCUUUCGCCGAGGAAAAGCUUUUUCGCUCUGCGCUGCUCUGCUCCCUGGGCUGCCUAACGCGGCUGCGCAAUCAGGAACUUAUUGUGCAAGGCUAUUGCCCUGCCCACCGCCCACUGCCGACUGCCCACUAGCCAUUGGCCCUGACUCUGCCUCCCCUAGGAGUUAUUUCUGGCUAAAAUAUGUUGCAAGAUAUCUCUGACCUGAAGAUGAGAUAGUCGAAAAAAUCCAGGAAGUAGGAUCUCCCAAUUAUAUAAUGCACAAAAGAUAUGGACAGAUCUUUGGAAACUCAAAUAAAGAAGCCUGCUUUAAG